Pipra filicauda (Wire-tailed manakin) is the source of this 180-nucleotide long non-coding RNA. RefSeq lists it as uncharacterized. NCBI's taxonomy places the organism in Eukaryota, Metazoa, Chordata, Aves, Passeriformes, Pipridae. The record is from RefSeq and is a predicted model, not a curated record. The transcript has 3 exons.
GUGGUACAGCACAGAUUGUGCAGCCUCUCCUUGCCAGACUUCAGGGAUACUUCUCAAGCUUUCUGGAGCCUGCUGUUUUUAAGAGGAGGAGCCGCCCCUGAACCAUUUCUCAGUUCAUAGUCUGUCAGAGCCAUUCAACAGCAUGUGUCUGGAACAACAUGUCCAGAAAGAAUUGCUGAC